RNAcentral lists this ribosomal RNA (565 nucleotides) under Vibrio sp. Its description in RNAcentral is "bacterial SSU rRNA". It matches the Rfam family "Bacterial small subunit ribosomal RNA", at positions 892 to 1456 of the family's 1533-position model. The record is from RNAcentral. Lineage: Bacteria; Pseudomonadati; Pseudomonadota; Gammaproteobacteria; Vibrionales; Vibrionaceae.
GAUUAAAACUCAAAUGAAUUGACGGGGGCCCGCACAAGCGGUGGAGCAUGUGGUUUAAUUCGAUGCAACGCGAAGAACCUUACCUACUCUUGACAUCCAGAGAACUUUCCAGAGAUGGAUUGGUGCCUUCGGGAACUCUGAGACAGGUGCUGCAUGGCUGUCGUCAGCUCGUGUUGUGAAAUGUUGGGUUAAGUCCCGCAACGAGCGCAACCCUUAUCCUUGUUUGCCAGCGAGUAAUGUCGGGAACUCCAGGGAGACUGCCGGUGAUAAACCGGAGGAAGGUGGGGACGACGUCAAGUCAUCAUGGCCCUUACGAGUAGGGCUACACACGUGCUACAAUGGCGCAUACAGAGGGCGGCCAACUUGCGAGAGUGAGCGAAUCCCAAAAAGUGCGUCGUAGUCCGGAUCGGAGUCUGCAACUCGACUCCGUGAAGUCGGAAUCGCUAGUAAUCGUGGAUCAGAAUGCCACGGUGAAUACGUUCCCGGGCCUUGUACACACCGCCCGUCACACCAUGGGAGUGGGCUGCAAAAGAAGUAGGUAGUUUAACCUUCGGGAGGACGCUUA